This 924-nucleotide ribosomal RNA is filed under the name Psittacus erithacus (grey parrot). RNAcentral describes it as "partial 16S ribosomal RNA". It matches the Rfam family "Bacterial large subunit ribosomal RNA", at positions 962 to 2539 of the family's 2925-position model. Lineage: Eukaryota; Metazoa; Chordata; Aves; Psittaciformes; Psittacidae. The record is from RNAcentral.
ACACCCACGUAGCGGGCUAAGAGCUAUUUUAAGGGGGUACAGCCCCUUUAAAAAAGGAUACAACCUUCACUAGAGGAUAACCCCGCCCCCCUCCAAACCAGUGGGCCUUAAAGCAGCCACCCACAAAGAGUGCGUCAAAGCUCAUUAAGCAAAAAAUCCAAAAGCAAUGCGACUCCCUACACCCCUAGCAGGCCAACCUAUGGCAAUAGAUGAAUUAAUGCUAGAACGAGUAACCAAGGCACUACGCCUCCUUAAGCGCCAACCUAAUCCACCAUUAACAGCACAGCCACAAUACCAAACUCACCCUGACCGAACAUUGAACGCACCCUGUUGACCCGACCCAGGAGCGCACACCUAGGACGAUUAAAACCUGCAAAAGGAACUCGGCAAACCCAAGGCCCGACUGUUUACCAAAAACAUAGCCUUCAGCCAAACAAGUAUUGAAGGUGACGCCUGCCCAGUGACCCCACGUUUAACGGCCGCGGUAUCCUAACCGUGCAAAGGUAGCGCAAUCAAUUGUCCCAUAAAUAGAGACUUGUAUGAAUGGCUAAACGAGGCCCUAACUGUCUCCUGCAGGUAAUCAGUGAAACUGAUCCCCCUGUACAAAAGCAGGGAUAACCACAUAAGACAAGAAGACCCUGUGGAACUUCAAAAUCAAUAGCCACUAACAAAUCCCACCCCAAGCCCACCAGGCCCACUACCCAAAACAGCUGGCUAACAUUUUUAGGUUGGGGCGACCUUGGAGAAAAGCAAACCCUCCAAAAAUAAGGCCAAACCCCUUAACUAAGAGCAACCCCUCAACGUGCCAACAGCACCCAGACCCAAUAAAAUUGACCAAUGAACCAAGCUACCCCAGGGAUAACAGCGCAAUCUCCCCCAAGAGCCCCUAUCGACAGGGAGGUUUACGACCUCGAUGUUGGAUCA